CGGAGGAAAAGAAACCAACAGGGAUUGCCCUAGUAACGGCGAGUGAAGCGGCAACAGCUCAAAUUUGAAAUCGGCCCUCCGGUCGAGUUGUAAUUUGUAGAGGAUGCUUCUGGGCAGCGGCCGGUCUAAGUUCCUUGGAACAGGACGUCAUAGAGGGUGAGAAUCCCGUAUGUGACCGGCCCGCACCCUCCACGUAGCUCCUUCGACGAGUCGAGUUGUUUGGGAAUGCAGCUCUAAAUGGGAGGUAAAUUUCUUCUAAAGCUAAAUACCGGCCAGAGACCGAUAGCGCACAAGUAGAGUGAUCGAAAGAUGAAAAGCACUUUGGAAAGAGAGUUAAACAGCACGUGAAAUUGUUGAAAGGGAAGCGCUUGCAACCAGACUCGUCGGCGGUGUUCCGCCGGUCUUCUGACCGGUCUACUCUCCGCCGGCGGGCCAACAUCGUCUGGGGCCGCCGGAUAAGACGUCGGGAAUGUAGCCUCCUCGGAGUGUUAUAGCCCCUUCGUGAUGCGGCGCGCCCCGGGCGAGGUCCGCGCUUCGGCAAGGAUGUUGGCGUAAUGGUUGUCAGCGGCCCGUCUUGAAACACGG
This 585-nucleotide ribosomal RNA is filed under the name Cercostigmina sp. P4. RNAcentral describes it as "eukaryotic LSU rRNA". It matches the Rfam family "Eukaryotic large subunit ribosomal RNA", at positions 51 to 664 of the family's 3401-position model. Lineage: Eukaryota; Fungi; Ascomycota; Dothideomycetes; Mycosphaerellales; Mycosphaerellaceae. The record is from RNAcentral.